CGUUUGUCCAGCGUCGUCCUUUUUUUCACCGUGUUCAACCCGGAAAAAAAAUACACGAAACACUAAGGCAGUCGCUUACAAGGAAUUCAAUGAAUAAACACACAAAGAGAAGUUAGAAGAGUUAUGUGUCAACAAAUGAGCACACAUCAGGAAAAUGGACUCUUUGUCGAGCCAAAAUGCAAAACGUGAAUGAGAGGACACGUCAAGACUCGCCAUGAGAUUUUAAAACAUUUUUUUAUUCCUGUCAUGACUUUUCCAAGUGUUUUCGCUCCCCCCUCGAAUGUACCGAAAAGGAUAACCUAUCAAGAUGAUGAGAGAAAGAGAUAAGAAUCACCGGCACCGGACGCUGUCGUCGAAGAUAACCUGAUCCCCGCCGUGCACCUCCCCCCCACCGCUCUCCAAAUUUCAAACUGAGUGACUCGUUGAGAUGGACGUAAUGAGACAGGUUGGGAAGAGGAGGAGAAAGGAGAGCAGGCCCACGAAGGAGCGCAGCCAAGGUGAAAAACAAUCAGGCCCGUCUUCGUUUGCUCGGAUGCAAGUUUGAUCAUCCAUGUGAGUAAUAUCUUUUCUUUUUAGUCUGUGACCUUUUCUGUCGAAGAAAGUACGCUAAACUGUAAUCAAGGUGAUGGCGCGUGUGGAAAAUGGUCACUGGAUUUUACCGCCUCCAAAUGAAUUGGUUCAUCCAACAUGCCGCUGACUAUGAUUACUUUGAGAUUUAAUUUCGCGACAGGGCAAAAUAAAAGUGGAACCAAACUAUUUUUGAAAUGAGGUUUGGGCAGGAGACAUUCCAUUACUUACUUGCAAUGUUUUGUGGU
Hippocampus comes (tiger tail seahorse) is the source of this 815-nucleotide long non-coding RNA. RefSeq lists it as uncharacterized. The record is from RefSeq and is a predicted model, not a curated record. The transcript is spliced from 3 exons. Lineage: Eukaryota; Metazoa; Chordata; Actinopteri; Syngnathiformes; Syngnathidae.